AGUGAACGCUGGCGGUAGGCCUAACACAUGCAAGUCGAACGGCAGCACAGGAGAGCUUGCUCUCUGGGUGGCGAGUGGCGGACGGGUGAGGAAUACAUCGGAAUCUACUCUGUCGUGGGGGAUAACGUAGGGAAACUUACGCUAAUACCGCAUACGACCUACGGGUGAAAGCAGGGGACCUUCGGGCCUUGCGCGAUUGAAUGAGCCGAUGUCGGAUUAGCUAGUUGGCGGGGUAAAGGCCCACCAAGGCGACGAUCCGUAGCUGGUCUGAGAGGGUGAUCAGACACACUGGAACUGAGACACGGUCCAGACUGCUACGGGAGGCAGCAGUGGGGAAUAUUGGACAAUGGGCGCAAGCCUGAUCCAGCCAUACCGCGUGGGUGAAGAAGGCCUUCGGGUUGUAAAGCCCUUUUGUUGGGAAAGAAAUCCAGCUGGCUAAUACCCGGUUGGGAUGACGGUACCCAAAGAAUAAGCACCGGCUAACUUCGUGCCAGCAGCCGCCGUAA
This 506-nucleotide ribosomal RNA is filed under the name uncultured bacterium. RNAcentral's name for it is "partial 16S ribosomal RNA". It matches the Rfam family "Bacterial small subunit ribosomal RNA", at positions 29 to 523 of the family's 1533-position model. The record is from RNAcentral.